Molecule: non-coding RNA, 2210 nt
Organism: Physcomitrium patens
Lineage: Eukaryota; Viridiplantae; Streptophyta; Bryopsida; Funariales; Funariaceae
Source: RefSeq, a predicted model, not a curated record
GUGAGAAUGACAGAGCCUGUGCUUUUACUACCAGGAAGAUGAAAUGAGAUGAGAUGCUUACAAACUCAAGCUCAUCGCACUAUAAUUGUGUACUUGGUAGGAUGCUCAAUGAUUGUGCAGAGCAUGGUGAGCUAUGGCGGCACCGCAGCUCGAAAAGCCAAUUUCAUGGAGCUGCCAUGGCCCACUCCUCUUCACUCUUCAGUCUGGAGUUUCGCUUCCCGUCUCCUUCGCUUGGUCUCUUCCUUUCUGAUACUGGGUCAAUCUCAAAGAGCCUUGCCCAAGCUGUUAGUAUUUUACACCACAAGAGUUGGCCUUUUGAUGCGUGAGUAUGAAUUCGGGGCGUUUGAUGCUGAAAGCUCCUCCACCUAGUGAGGUGGAAGCUGCCACCACCAUCCAAGCCCACUGGCGGGGGUUUAUGGUGCGGCGAACGCGCCCUCUGGAGAAGCUGCAAAUCAUCUACGAAGUUCGGCAAGGCCUGAAGGACCACAUGCGAGUGUUGGCAGAGCCUGCGCAAUACGAGUCGCUGUGUUCAGAUCCCAAGCAGCGCUUGAGAUGGAGCGAGUGUGCUAUGGCGCUACUGCUGCGCCUUGAUUCUGUUCAGGGUGCCCAUGCUGAUGUGCGGGACAUCAGGAAACUCGUCACCAAGGAAGUGAUUGCGUUUCAAGAGAUUAUUGAUUCCACUUCCAAGGACGCUUCCAGUGAUGUGAUCAGAAGGGCAUUAAAAUCAACACUCGCCAUGUAUUUAGCUUGACUUUAAACCAGAUUGGUUCCACUCAUCUCCACCCAUUCACUUUCUCGGCGAUAAUGACAACAAAUGAUUUCCCUAACUCGGAGGUCCAGAAGACGCCAUCAGAACAUCUGAAGUCACUAAUUGCAAAACGUGCAGAAGUGUAGUGGGCAUUGUGUAUUCACGGCAAGUCUUGAAUCUAUGGCUUCCAAGGUUCCUUUCUGCACUGAACAAGCGAAUUAUGCUAACCCCAACUUAAUUAUAGGGUUUUUUAAGUGUGCAGCUUGAAUAGAUCAACGUCAUUCUCCUCAUUGUAGUGCAACUCUGUAACGGUUAAAAUAUAAGCUGCAUUUGAUUGUUAUCUAUGCUAGAUAACCGCAGAAUUGCACGAAUAUUGUUCUGGCAUUAAAGACGUGUAACUUAACAGAAGAAGGCAUACGACUAUAUAGAUUCAUGCGAAUGAUGCUACAGGCAUUUUCCUCCCUUGGGGGUCAGAUUUGGCGCAGAGAAGAAUGUGAAUACAUUCUAGAACAGAUUCGAACCAUAUGGGUGGUGGAUUGGCUAUUGUGGAAGUGUAGUCGGUUGCUGUGAGCCAUAGUAAUUUUGCACAGGAGCUGCGACGUGUAAUCAUGGUUUCUGAGCUUUGUAGGAGAUGUUUCGUGCACAGGCUGAUGAAGCUGGGGGUGUGCAUAGGUGAACUCCUCAUAAAGUGUCAAACUCCUAAUUACAGUAGAAGGGUAGAGGUUGAAAUAUCCUUCAAAAGUGUUCUACCAGGUCUAGAAUAUUACGUUAGCUCUUACAUAGAGAGUUAUGCAAUGCUAAGCCUUGGCUUAGCCGUGGGCUGCACUUAUCUAGUUUGGACUGUUGCAAGUUCGAGAGCAAAAGAUAAGGCAUUUGAGUUACCUGCCGCUGAGAGGGCUUUUUGGUAGAUUGCAGCAGUAUUCAAAAAUAAAUCCGUCAAAUAGGAUGUCGACUACCAAAACAUUGAUGCCAAACACCUCAUAGCUUAUCCGGAACAUCUGAAUUGCAAAGGUUUAAUUACUGACGCCAUUUCUUCAACCCUCAAGAAAAUCCUAAACUCAGCAACAAUCCCUGCACACGAGCUUCACAAAAUUCUUCGAUGAACGACAACCCUAUAACUAAAAACUCGAAACAACCACCAUGCUCGAGCACCACGCAAAUCUGAGCUGCAAUCUCGUAGGUGCCAAUGCGGCCGGCGUCCCUCACCACUAAUGCGGCCCGUGACUUCGCAAGAAACAAACGAGUUCCUGAGAUUGCCUGUAAAUUAGGAAAGUUGGGGUGCAGAAGGUUGGCGUAGUAGAACCUUUAUAAGUGUCUCAUUGGGGUAUAAUGUGUAGGGUCGUGGUGUGUAUUUGGGAAGUCAAGGUUUAAGCUGCGCAAUGGUGUUCCUCGGUGGUGCCUCGCAGGAGCCUGAUCAAGCUCAAAGUAUACAUUUCUGAAACCGUAACCGCAAAUUUGAAUA